Molecule: ribosomal RNA, 254 nt
Filed under: uncultured bacterium
Lineage: Bacteria
Description: partial 16S ribosomal RNA
Rfam family: Bacterial small subunit ribosomal RNA
Source: RNAcentral
CACGUAGGGUGCGAGCGUUGUCCGGAAUUAUUGGGCGUAAAGAGCUCGUAGGCGGUCUGUCGCGUCGAUCGUGAAAACUUGGGGCUUAACCCUGAGCUUGCGGUCGAUACGGGCAUGACUGGAGUUCGGCAGGGGAGACUGGAAUUCCUGGUGUAGCGGUGAAAUGCGCAGAUAUCAGGAGGAACACCGGUGGCGAAGGCGGGUCUCUGGGCCGAUACUGACGCUGAGACGCGAAAGCGUGGGGAGCAAACAGG